UGGGGAAUAUUGCACAAUGGGCGCAAGCCUGAUGCAGCCAUGCCGCGGGUGUGAAGAAGGCCUUCGGGUUGUAAAGCACUUUCAGCGGGGAGGAAGGCGUUAAGGUUAAUAACCUUGGCGAUUGACGUUACCCGCAGAAGAAGCACCGGCUAACUCCGUGCCAGCAGCCGCGGUAAUACGGAGGGUGCAAGCGUUAAUCGGAAUUACUGGGCGUAAAGCGCACGCAGGCGGUCUGUCAAGUCGGAUGUGAAAUCCCCGGGCUCAACCUGGGAACUGCAUUCGAAACUGGCAGGCUCGAGUCUUGUAGAGGGGGGUAGAAUUCCAGGUGUGGCGGUGAAAUGCGUAGAGAUCUGGGGGAAUACCGGUGGCGAAGGCAGCCCCCUGGACAAAGACUGACGCUCAGGUGCGAAAGCGUGGGGAGCAAACAGG
This 429-nucleotide ribosomal RNA is filed under the name Chloroflexota bacterium. RNAcentral's name for it is "Chloroflexi bacterium partial 16S ribosomal RNA". It matches the Rfam family "Bacterial small subunit ribosomal RNA", at positions 355 to 776 of the family's 1533-position model. The record is from RNAcentral. Lineage: Bacteria; Bacillati; Chloroflexota.